GCCCGGAUGACAUUAUGAGAAACUGAGGAAAAAUAAUGAGUGAUUUGUUUAAAAAAAAAGAGAACUUUUCAAUGACGGUCUGCCAUAAGUGGAUUACAAAAAAAACCUGUAUGUGGAAUCAGGACGCAACCAAAUUCAGGAAAUGAAAGCAUGAGGGUCAAAUGGACAGAUUGUGUGUUUGGGGAACAGAGUUUUGGGAGGAUUGUCAACAAAUGAAGAAAGGCAUCGUGAAAUGGAGGACAGUUUGAGGAAGAAAGAAAAAAAGCAAAGAGAGGAGGAAGGGAGCUGAACGCUUCUCAGUGUAAGAAUUGCUGAGCUUCUGAACUGCCCCUUUUCUAAAGCUCCCCAACCGCAAAACCUGUCCAGAGGCAACCCCCAGGGUCACCGCAGGAUUAGAGAUGGCGAAAGAGAGAAAACGAGAGAUGAAAGGAGUGCUUCACUAAACCAACUUGAAGAAAACAUUGUAACGCUCAUCUCUCCAUUACUAAUUUUAACCCCCAACGUAGGUGCAAUAAACUGACAAUAUCACGUCCUGGGAGGAUGUGGAACACAGGGAUCGCUGGCCUUGGAAUACGGGUGGAAUUCAGCAUACAAACUGUAGUAUGUCCUGGCUCGACCUGAUGGAAAUGGAUGCAAUUUUAAAGUGAUGUGAACUAUUUUUGUGGGGUGCUCCACCAUGAUAAUUGCACCUGAAAGUGGACAAAAAACCCUCGAUCCAGUCUCAGAUACACAUAAUGUGUGGAAAAACACCCAUCAUGCCCUUCAACGCUAUGCAAUUCAAACGCUUCAAUCGAACAGUUUAUCAGCCAAACCUUUUCCGCUCCUUUACCUUUUGGAAAUCUUGCACGUGCUUUAAAUGAAAAUAGACAGCGGCGCCAUCGGCCUGCCAUUUUCCUAUAUCAUACUGUUUCCCCAUUCAUCCAAUUGGAAAUCUCUGUUCAGAGUGUCCUUCUCAGGGCUCACAGAAAGGUGACUUUGUCCACUAUGAAGAAAAGAGCGUUAGCCUCUCUCUUUUCUCUCUCUCUUAGUUCAGCUCUCUGCAUCUCAGCGUUUCUGUUCCCCUGUAGAUGAACUGCAUGGCAUGAAUGAAAAAAAAGAGAGAAA
Molecule: long non-coding RNA, 1104 nt
Organism: Sinocyclocheilus grahami
Lineage: Eukaryota; Metazoa; Chordata; Actinopteri; Cypriniformes; Cyprinidae
Exons: 2
Source: RefSeq, a predicted model, not a curated record